This 108-nucleotide ribosomal RNA is filed under the name Scophthalmus maximus (turbot). Lineage: Eukaryota; Metazoa; Chordata; Actinopteri; Pleuronectiformes; Scophthalmidae. The record is from RNAcentral.
GCUUUGGCCACACCGCCUGGUAUACGCUUGAUCUCGGAAGAUAAGAUAGGUUGGGCCUGGUUAGUACUUGGAUGGGAGACCGCCUGGGAAUACCAGGUGCUGUAAGCU